This 130-nucleotide small nuclear RNA is filed under the name Callipepla squamata (scaled quail). RNAcentral describes it as "U1 spliceosomal RNA". It matches the Rfam family "U1 spliceosomal RNA". Rfam says of the family: U1 is a small nuclear RNA (snRNA) component of the spliceosome (involved in pre-mRNA splicing). The record is from Rfam by way of RNAcentral. Lineage: Eukaryota; Metazoa; Chordata; Aves; Galliformes; Odontophoridae.
UUACUUACCUGGCAGGGAAGAUGCCAUGUAGUUUCCCCAGGGCAAGGCUCAUUCCCUGCACUCCAAGUGUGCUGAUCCCUGCAAUUUCCCCAUAUGUGGGAAACUCGACUGCAUAAUUCAUGGUACUGUU